Molecule: transfer RNA, 69 nt
Filed under: Limnoglobus roseus
Lineage: Bacteria; Pseudomonadati; Planctomycetota; Planctomycetia; Gemmatales; Gemmataceae
Description: tRNA-Met
Source: RNAcentral
UGCGGGCGGGCGGGUGCUCGGCCGGGUCUCAUAAGCCUGGACGCUUGGUUCGAGUCCAAGGUCCGCAAC